UGAGCCAAGUUUAGGGUUUUCUCAAAACCCAAGCAGUAUUGAACUGAAGAGUUUGAUCAUGGCUCAGAUUGAACGCUGGCGGCAGGCCUAACACAUGCAAGUCGAGCGGAUGAAGGGAGCUU
RNAcentral lists this ribosomal RNA (122 nucleotides) under Pseudomonas aeruginosa. RNAcentral's name for it is "partial 16S ribosomal RNA". The stretch from base 41 to 122 matches the Rfam family "Bacterial small subunit ribosomal RNA", at positions 1 to 82 of the family's 1533-position model. Lineage: Bacteria; Pseudomonadati; Pseudomonadota; Gammaproteobacteria; Pseudomonadales; Pseudomonadaceae. The record is from RNAcentral.